RNAcentral lists this ribosomal RNA (1087 nucleotides) under Priestia filamentosa. RNAcentral's name for it is "bacterial SSU rRNA". It matches the Rfam family "Bacterial small subunit ribosomal RNA", at positions 31 to 1088 of the family's 1533-position model. Lineage: Bacteria; Bacillati; Bacillota; Bacilli; Caryophanales; Bacillaceae. The record is from RNAcentral.
GGGCAGUGCGGCGUGCUAUACAUGCAAGUCGAGCGGAGAUUUGAAAAGCUUGCUUUUCAAAACUUAGCGGCGGACGGGUGAGUAACACGUGGGCAACCUGCCCUUGAGACGGGGAUAACUCCGGGAAACCGGAGCUAAUACCGGAUAACACAUAUCUUCGCAUGAGGAUAUGUUAGAAGGUGGCUUUUAGCUACCACUCAAGGAUGGGCCCGCGGCGCAUUAGCUAGUUGGUGAGGUAACGGCUCACCAAGGCGACGAUGCGUAGCCGACCUGAGAGGGUGAUCGGCCACACUGGGACUGAGACACGGCCCAGACUCCUACGGGAGGCAGCAGUAGGGAAUCUUCCGCAAUGGACGAAAGUCUGACGGAGCAACGCCGCGUGAGUGAUGAAGGUUUUCGGAUCGUAAAGCUCUGUUGUUAGGGAAGAACAAGUACCUGUUGAAUAAGCAGGUACCUUGACGGUACCUAACCAGAAAGCCACGGCUAACUACGUGCCAGCAGCCGCGGUAAUACGUAGGUGGCAAGCGUUGUCCGGAAUUAUUGGGCGUAAAGCGCGCGCAGGCGGUUCCUUAAGUCUGAUGUGAAAGCCCACGGCUCAACCGUGGAGGGUCAUUGGAAACUGGGGAACUUGAGUGCAGAAGAGGAGAGCGGAAUUCCACGUGUAGCGGUGAAAUGCGUAGAGAUGUGGAGGAACACCAGUGGCGAAGGCGGCUCUCUGGUCUGUAACUGACGCUGAGGCGCGAAAGCGUGGGGAGCGAACAGGAUUAGAUACCCUGGUAGUCCACGCCGUAAACGAUGAGUGCUAAGUGUUAGAGGGUUUCCGCCCUUUAGUGCUGCAGCAAACGCAUUAAGCACUCCGCCUGGGGAGUACGGUCGCAAGACUGAAACUCAAAGGAAUUGACGGGGACCCGCACAAGCGGGGGAGCAUGUGGUUUAUUUCGAAGCAACGCGAAAAAACCUUACCAGGUCUUGACAUCCUCUGCUACUUCUAAAAAAAAAAAAGGUUCCCUUCCGGGGACAAAAUGACAAGGGGGGGGCAUGGGUGGUCGCCCACCUCCGGGCCCGGGAAAUGUUGGGGUUAAAUUCC